Lutzomyia longipalpis is the source of this 2423-nucleotide long non-coding RNA. RefSeq lists it as uncharacterized. The record is from RefSeq and is a predicted model, not a curated record. NCBI's taxonomy places the organism in Eukaryota, Metazoa, Arthropoda, Insecta, Diptera, Psychodidae. The transcript has 2 exons.
CAUAAAGAGUUGUCCUAUUAUUGUAGACAUGUCUAUGGACAUGUCUAACAGCAAUCCAAUGUGAUCUUUUUUCAGCGAACAUAUCCAAUGAAAGUCCAAAGGAUUAUCAUUGGACAUUCGUUUGGGAUAUGUCCAAUUACAGUCUUAUAUCUAGUCUAAUGAUUUUUCUUGGGACGUGUCCUUCACUUGUCCUAUAUGAGUCCAAUUUCCGUUUACAUUGAACGUUUCCAAUGCCAGUCCAAUGGAUUAUCAUUGGACAUUCGAUUGUGAUAUGUCUAACAGUAGUCUAAUGUUUAAUCCUACGAUUUAUGUUAGGACACCAUAAUCAAACGUCCAAUGCUACUCCAAGGUAAUUUCAUAGGACAUUCUAAUUGAACGUUUCCAAUGCCAGUCCAAUGGAUUAUCAUUGGACAUUCGAUUGUGAUAUGUCUAACAGUAGUUUAAUGUUUAAUCCUACGAUUUAUGUUAGGACACCAUAAUCAAACGUCCAAUGCUACUCCAAGGUAAUUUCAUAGGACAUUCUAAUUGAACGUUUCCAAUGCCAGUCCAAUGGAUUAUCAUUGGACAUUCGAUUGUGAUAUGUCUAACAGUAGUUUAAUGUUUAAUCCUACGAUGUAUGUUAGGACACCAUAAUCAAACGUCCAAUGCUACUCCAAGGUAAUUUCAUAGGACAUUCUAAUUGAACGUUUCCAAUGCCAGUCAAAUGGAUUAUCAUUGGACAUUCGAUUGUGAUAUGUCUAACAGUAGUUUAAUGUUUAAUCCUACGAUGUAUGUUAGGACACCAUAAUCAAACGUCCAAUGCUACUCCAAGGUAAUUUCAUAGGACAUUCUAAUUGAACGUUUCCAAUGCCAGUCCAAUGGAUUAUCAUUGGACAUUCGAUUGUGAUAUGUCUAACAGUAGUUUAAUGUUUAAUCCUACGAUGUAUGUUAGGACACCAUAAUCAAACGUCCAAUGCUACUCCAAGGUAAUUUCAUAGGACAUUCUAAUUGGACGUAUCUAAUGCCAGUCCAAUAGAUUACCAUUGGACAUUCGAUUGAGAUAUAUUCAACCAUAGUCUAAUGUUUAAUCCUACAGUUUACCUCAGGACACUUUAAUCAGACAUCCAAUGCUAGUCGAAGGAAAAUUUAUAGGACAUUCUAAUUGGACAUAUCCAAUGCCAGUCCAUUGGUUUAUUAUUGGACAUUUGUUUGAGAUAUGUCCAACGAUGGUCGAACGUUUAAUCUUACGAUUUAUCUUAGCACAUCUAAUUCAAACGUCCUAUGCUAGUCCAAAGGAAUUUCAGAGGAAAGUUUACGUUAGACGUAUCCAAUGCCAGUCCAUUAGUUCAUCAUUGAACAUUCGAUUGGGAUAUAUCCCACGAUUGUAUAAUAUCUUGUACUACGAUAUCUCUUAAGACGUCUAAUUCAGACGUCCAAAGCUAAUCCAAAGGAAUAUCAUAGGACGUUAAAAUUUCAUAUAUCUAAUGCCAGUCCAACUAUUUUCAUUGGACUUUCGACAUAUGCUUCCAUCGAUAUGUCUUACGUUUGUUCAAAUGUCUUUGUUCUGUGAAGAGUGCGUGUGUAGCAGCGUUGGAAAAUGGAAAAAUGGGAAAAAUAUCCGGAAAAAUAGCAAAGUAAGUACAUUAUACACUAAUUAGGAUAUAGUUAAACGAUGUGUAUAAGAAAUUAAGUUGCAAUUUAUAUAAUUGUACGCGAAAAUAGAAAUUUUCUUUUUUACAGGUUACGUGUUUCGACAAGUCCAGGUGAGAGAUUUUUUUCGAAUAAAAGCAGGUAAAAAGAGAAGUAUUUUAAUUAAAGAGCGCUCUUCUGUAAAUAGUAGUAGUAGUAGUAGUAAUAGCAGUAGUAGUAGCAGUAGUAUGUAGUAGAAGUAGUCGGGGUAGUAGUAGUAAAUAUUAUGUAUGUAAUAUUUGACAAAUUUUUCUAUUAUUCCAUUAUUAUUCAUUGAUUUGUCUUUUCAUGCUACAUGUUCCCGGACAACUUCUAUUCUCCGGACUCUCCCAGGCUCCCCAAAAAGAGUGUCCAUGGACAACCCAAUGGAUUGUCAAUGGAUUCGUCCCAUGUGUCCCAUGGACUUUUCUUGUUUUUUUCUUAUAUUCUGUAAUAUUCUUACAGCUACAUGUUCCCGGCGUUCCCGGACAACUAUCUUACGGAUACUCCCACGUUACAAAAGCUCGCCAAAGAGAACUAUCAGCAUUUAUGACGAAGGGAAUGGAGAAAAGAAAAGACCGUGCCUUGGAAAACAGAAGUAGGAGAGCAUCCCGUGUCUUGGAAAACAGAAAUUGCAGAGCAUCCCGUGUCUUGGAAUACAGGAGUUGCAGAACAUCUCAAAGACCCAGGACGUCAGAGUUCAACCGCCGAAGGACAAAGUAUCAUACAUGUAAGAUUUAUAUAUAUAAUUUUUAAAUAAAAAAAUAAAAAAUUAA